UCUGCCACUCAAAGAAAUUUCUCUUUCUGACAGGUUUUUGAGACUCUCUGUCAAUGGGACUCCCGUAUCUGUUGGCACUUCUUCCGUCUGUGUGUCGAUUGCUGUUUUUACACUAGGAUCAGAGCUUUGGGACCGAAGAUAGGACAGCAGGGGUAACUGAAACGAGAGCUGCAUUUCAUCCUUUUUCCAGACUCUUACACACAUGGUGUUGAGAUCUUCAUUGGGGAUUAAAGGAAUUUUGUUUCUGGAAGCAAAAUCUGUUGAAGCAAGGAAAACUGAGUUCACUAGAACAAAUUCUGAUUGUGAGGCCGGUGUCCGUUUGGAAGAGGAGUUUGAAAACAUUUCUGACUGGCUGAUAACCAUGUGCUGAUGCCUGGAAGUAUGGAUUUGUAGGACUCCAACAUGAGGAGUGAAUUCUCUCUGCAUCCACCACCCUACAGGUUUAUGUUUACCAAAUCUGCGAUUGCAUAACACUGGGGAAAGAUCACAUUCCCAGUCAUUGCUGUACAGCAACAGUUCAUCUUGCCGUUAUAGGUUCA
Molecule: long non-coding RNA, 539 nt
Organism: Protopterus annectens (West African lungfish)
Lineage: Eukaryota; Metazoa; Chordata; Ceratodontiformes; Protopteridae
Exons: 5
Source: RefSeq, a predicted model, not a curated record